AUUGAACGCUGGCGGCAGGCCUAACACAUGCAAGUCGAGCGGAUGAAGGGAGCUUGCUCCUGGAUUCAGCGGCGGACGGGUGAGUAAUGCCUAGGAAUCUGCCUGGUAGUGGGGGAUAACGUCCGGAAACGGGCGCUAAUACCGCAUACGUCCUGAGGGAGAAAGUGGGGGAUCUUCGGACCUCACGCUAUCAGCUGAGCCUAGGUCGGAUUAGCUAGUUGGUGGGGUAAAGGCCUACCAAGGCGACGAUCCGUAACUGGUCUGAGAGGAUGAUCAGUCACAUCUGAACUGAGACACGGUCCAGAUUCCUACGGGAGGCAGCAGUGGGGAAUAUUGGACCAUGGGCGAAAGCCUGAUCCAGCCCUGCCGCGUGUGUGAAGCAGGUCUUCGGAUUGUAAAGAACUUUAAGUUGGGAGGAAGUGCAGUAAGUUAAUACCUUGCUGUUUUGACGUUACCAACAGAAUAAGCACCGGCUAACUUCGUG
RNAcentral lists this ribosomal RNA (484 nucleotides) under uncultured bacterium. RNAcentral describes it as "partial 16S ribosomal RNA". It matches the Rfam family "Bacterial small subunit ribosomal RNA", at positions 30 to 507 of the family's 1533-position model. The record is from RNAcentral.